AGUGAACGCUGGCGGUAGGCCUAACACAUGCAAGUCGAACGGCAGCACCGUAAGAGCUUGCUCUUACGGGUGGCGAGUGGCGGACGGGUGAGGAAUACAUCGUAAUCUACUUUUUCGUGGGGGAUAACGUAGGGAAACUUACGCUAAUACCGCAUACGACCUACGGGUGAAAGCAGGGGAUCUUCGGACCUUGCGCGAUUGAAUGAGCCGAUGUGGGAUUAGCUAGUUGGCGGGGUAAAGGCCCACCAAGGCGACGAUCCGUAGCCGGUCUGAGAGGAUGAUCAGCCACACUGGAACGGAGACACGGACCAGACUCCUACGGGAGGCAGCAGUGGGGAAUAUUGGACAAUGGGCGCAAGCCUGAUCCAGCCAUACCGCGUGGGUGAAGAAGGCCUUCGGGUUGUAAAGCCCUUUUGUUGGGAAAGAAAAGCAGCAGGUUAAUACCCCGCUGUUCUGACGGUACCCAAAGAAUAAGCACCGGCUAACUUCGUG
RNAcentral lists this ribosomal RNA (492 nucleotides) under uncultured bacterium. RNAcentral describes it as "partial 16S ribosomal RNA". It matches the Rfam family "Bacterial small subunit ribosomal RNA", at positions 29 to 507 of the family's 1533-position model. The record is from RNAcentral.